RNAcentral lists this transfer RNA (75 nucleotides) under Salinicoccus roseus. RNAcentral's name for it is "tRNA-Arg". It matches the Rfam family "tRNA". From Rfam's summary of the family: Transfer RNA (tRNA) molecules are approximately 80 nucleotides in length. The record is from RNAcentral. Lineage: Bacteria; Bacillati; Bacillota; Bacilli; Caryophanales; Staphylococcaceae.
UACCCCCGUGGUGUAAUGGAUAACACGUAAGAUUCCGGUUCUUGAGAUGGGAGUUCGAUUCUCUCCGGGGGUGUC